This 253-nucleotide ribosomal RNA is filed under the name uncultured bacterium. Its description in RNAcentral is "partial 16S ribosomal RNA". It matches the Rfam family "Bacterial small subunit ribosomal RNA", at positions 524 to 776 of the family's 1533-position model. The record is from RNAcentral.
UACAGAGGGUGCGAGCGUUAAUCGGAAUUACUGGGCGUAAAGCGCACGUAGGUGGCGACGUAAGUCGGGUGUGAAAGCCCCGGGCUCAACCUGGGAAUUGCAUUCGAGACUGCAUUGCUGGAGUACGGAAGAGGAGGGCGGAAUUCCCGGUGUAGCGGUGAAAUGCGUAGAUAUCGGGAGGAACAUCAGUGGCGAAGGCGGCCCUCGGGUCCAGUAUUGACAUUCAAGUGCGAAAGCGUGGGGAGCAAACAGG